RNAcentral lists this ribosomal RNA (984 nucleotides) under uncultured Planctomycetota bacterium. Its description in RNAcentral is "bacterial SSU rRNA". It matches the Rfam family "Bacterial small subunit ribosomal RNA", at positions 116 to 1077 of the family's 1533-position model. Lineage: Bacteria; Pseudomonadati; Planctomycetota. The record is from RNAcentral.
GGUGGGUAACGUACCCUGUGCUUUGGGAUAGCGUCCUCCCGAUUUCGGUCGGGAUUUCCGAAAGGGGCGGUAAUACCAAAUAAUAUCAUUUGUCGAUAGGCGGAUGAUCAAAGAUUUAUCGGCACAGGAGCGGCCUGCCUCCUAUCAGCUUGUUGGUGAGGUAACGGCUCACCAAGGCAGCGACGGGUAGCGGGACUGAGAGGUUGGCCCGCAACAUCGGGACUGAGACACUGCCCGGACCUCCACGGAGGGCUGCAGUAACGAAUCUUGUGCAAUGGGCGAAAGCCUGACACAGCGACGCCGCGUGUAGGAGGAAGUCCUUCGGGAUGUAAACUACUGUCAGGGGGAAGAAAGUGCGCUUCGGCGCAUUGAUCUAACCCAGAGGAAGUCACGGCUAACUUCGUGCCAGCAGCCGCGGUAAGACGAAGGUGGCAAGCGUUGUUCGGUAUUACUGGGCUUAAAGCGUGUGUAGGCGGAAAAGUAAGCGUUUCGUGAAAUCCCCCGGCUUAACCGGGGAACUGCGCAACGAACUGCUUUUCUUGAGGCAAGUAGGGGUGCAUGGAACUCUUGGUGGAGCGGUGGAAUGCGUAGAUAUCAAGAGGAACGCCGAUGGAGAAAUCAGUGCACUGGGCUUGUCCUGACGCUGAGACACGAAAGCGUGGGUAGCGAACGGGAUUAGAUACCCCGGUAGUCCACGCCGUAAACGAUGCCUACUAGGUUGUGAAAGUUCUGACACUGGCACAGCCGAAGCAAAAGUGUUAAGUAGGCCGCCUGGGGAGUACGGUCGCAAGGCUAAAACUCAAAGGAAUUGACGGGGGCUCACACAAGCGGUGGAGCAUGUGGAUUAAUUCGAAGCAACGCGCAGAACCUUACCUGGGUUUGACAUGCUUGGAUGCCGCCUCCGAAAGGGGGUCUGGCUGCCCUUCGGGGUGAAACUUGCACAGGUGCUGCAUGGCUGUCGCCAGCUCGUGUCGUGAGAUGUCG